UCACCCCCAGUCUCAUGAUAUUUAAGCAUUGGAGGAGGCAAAACUCGGGCAUUUAUGAAUGUAAGCUCUUCCUUAACUUGAAUACCAAAUUCAUUCCUCACAAGCUCAUCUCUGCUGUAAUUAUUCUGCCUAACGAUCCGCUUGAUGCUAUUUUCUCGCUCAUGAGGGCGUUGACAGGUUGCUUUUAACAGUGCAAUUACUUGUCGUAGAUUCAAAUUCCUUGAGUACCUCUGUCCUUCAACAAUCCUACAAAGCUCCAU
RNAcentral lists this unclassified non-coding RNA (260 nucleotides) under Hevea brasiliensis (rubber tree). The record is from RNAcentral. Lineage: Eukaryota; Viridiplantae; Streptophyta; Magnoliopsida; Malpighiales; Euphorbiaceae.